AGAGUUUGAUCCUGGCUCAGGAUGAACGCUAGCGGCAGGCUUAACACAUGCAAGUCGAGGGGCAGCGGGGAGGAAGCUUGCUUUCUCCGCCGGCGACCGGCGCACGGGUGAGUAACACGUAUGCAACCUGCCCCUGUCAGGGGGACAACCCGCCGAAAGGCGGGCUAAACCCGCGUACAUGCCACCGGGGCAUCCCGGAGGCAGGAAAGGCUUCGGCCGGACAGGGAUGGGCAUGCGGCGCAUUAGGCAGUAGGCGGGGUAACGGCCCACCUAACCGACGAUGCGUAGGGGUUCUGAGAGGAAGGUCCCCCACACUGGUACUGAGACACGGACCAGACUCCUACGGGAGGCAGCAGUGAGGAAUAUUGGUCAAUGGGCGAGAGCCUGAACCAGCCAAGUCGCGUGAAGGAUGACGGCCCUACGGGUUGUAAACUUCUUUUGUCAGGGAGCAAUUGGGUCCACGCGUGGGCUUAGCGAGAGUACCUGAAGAAAAAGCAUCGGCUAACUCCGUGCCAGCAGCCGCGGUAAUACGGAGGAUGCGAGCGUUAUCCGGAUUUAUUGGGUUUAAAGGGUGCGUAGGCGGAAUAUCAAGUCAGCGGUAAAAAUUCGGGGCUCAACCCCGUCGUGCCGUUGAAACUGAUGUUCUUGAGUGGGCGAGAAGUAUGCGGAAUGCGUGGUGUAGCGGUGAAAUGCAUAGAUAUCACGCAGAACUCCGAUUGCGAAGGCAGCAUACCGGCGCCCAACUGACGCUGAAGCACGAAAGCGUGGGUAUCGAACAGGAUUAGAUACCCUGGUAGUCCACGCAGUAAACGAUGAAUGCUAAUUGUCCGGAGGGAUUGACCUCUGGGUGAUACAGCGAAAGCGUUAAGCAUUCCACCUGGGGAGUACGCCGGCAACGGUGAAACUCAAAGGAAUUGACGGGGGCCCGCACAAGCGGAGGAACAUGUGGUUUAAUUCGAUGAUACGCGAGGAACCUUACCCGGGCUCAAACGCAGGAGGAAUACAUUUGAAAGGGUGUAGCUCUACGGAGUCUUCUGCGAGGUGCUGCAUGGUUGUCGUCAGCUCGUGCCGUGAGGUGUCGGCUUAAGUGCCAUAACGAGCGCAACCCCCGCGUGCAGUUGCUAACAGAUAACGCUGAGGACUCUGUCGAGACUGCCGGCGCAAGCUGCGAGGAAGGUGGGGAUGACGUCAAAUCAUCAUGCCCCUUAUGAUUUGGGCUACACACGUGCUACAAUGGCGUAAACAGAGGGAAGCGAGCCCGCGAGGGGGAGCAAAUCCCAAAAAUAACGUCCCAGUUCGGAUUGUAGUCUGCAACCCGACUACACGAAGCUGGAAUCGCUAGUAAUCGCGGAUCAGAAUGUCGCGGUGAAUACGUUCCCGGGUCUUGCACUCACCGCCCGUCAAG
RNAcentral lists this ribosomal RNA (1405 nucleotides) under uncultured bacterium. Its description in RNAcentral is "bacterial SSU rRNA". It matches the Rfam family "Bacterial small subunit ribosomal RNA". The record is from RNAcentral.